This 497-nucleotide ribosomal RNA is filed under the name uncultured bacterium. RNAcentral's name for it is "partial 16S ribosomal RNA". It matches the Rfam family "Bacterial small subunit ribosomal RNA", at positions 28 to 507 of the family's 1533-position model. The record is from RNAcentral.
GAUGAACGCUGGCGGCGUGCCUAAUACAUGCAAGUCGAGCGAACAGACGCGGAGCUUUCUCCUCUGUCGCUAGCGACGGACGUGUGAGUACCACGUAGAUAACCUACCUAUAAGACUAGGAUAACCUCGGGAGACCGGAGAUAGUACACGAUAAUAUAUUUAACCACAUGGUUCAUUAGUGAACGACGGAUUCUCUGUUACUAAUCGAUGGCUCCGAGCCUCAUUAGCUAGUUGGUAACGUAAAGGCUUACCAAGGCAACGAUGCGUAUACGACCUGAGAGGUUGAUCGGCCACACUGGAACUGAGACACGGUCCAGACUCCUACGGGAGGCAGCAGUGGGGAACCUUCAGAAAUGGGCGAAAGCGUGACGGAGCAACGCCGCGUGAGUGAAGAAGGUCGUCGGAUCGUAAAACACUGUAAAUAGGGAAGAACAUAUGUGUGAUUAGAUAUGCACGUUUUGACGGUACCUACUGAGAAAGCCACGGGUAACUACGUG